Strigops habroptila (Kakapo) is the source of this 8219-nucleotide RNA transcript. It is a transcript of the gene named calcium and integrin binding family member 2, with no coding region annotated. Lineage: Eukaryota; Metazoa; Chordata; Aves; Psittaciformes; Psittacidae. The record is from RefSeq and is a predicted model, not a curated record. The transcript has 11 exons.
CUGAGCCUUCUUUUCUCCAGGCUGAACAACCUCAGUUCCCUCAGCCCAGUUCCCUUCCCCAGCUCCGUCGCCCUUCUCUGGACCUGCUCCAGCACCUCAAUGUCUUUCUUGUACUAGGGGGCACAGAACUGAACACAGGAUUCAAAUCCUGAUUGUCUUAGGGAAUUAUGUUGCUAAUGUCUGUUUCUCACAUCUCGCCCAUCCUCAGAAGACUGACACACACGCUUAGAUGGUUUGUCGUUAGAUGGGUAUUUGCCUUUUUGGCAGACUCCAAUUGGAGUCUUUUGGCACACCCCUCAUUUCUCUUAGAGAAAUUAAGCUUUUGUAUGUUUUGCUUGUCUUUUAACUAGAGUCCUUAAAACUUUUUCAUUAUUUGAGGCUAAAACAAAAUACAUCUUAAAUGUUAUCUCUAUGUGGGUGACAGAUUUCGUUAUGCUUCCCAGUUCCCCCUGUGAUUUCAGUUGAACACCUUUAUCUUCAGCUUUUGUUGUAAGCUGCUGCACACCAUUUAACAGUUGUUGAAUUUCACUUGAGAGGCAGCUGCAUAUUAGUGGUAAGUAGCCCAAUUCUUGUAAGGUACUUUAUGUUCCUUUAAGGUGAAGGAUACUACAUAAAUAUAAACCAUCAAUCUGUUCAAGUACCUUUGCUUUGGACAUGCUGCUUGUAUUUUUUUUUAGUCUCCACAGGUAUGCAGAAAAUGUGUUCUACAGAUGCAUCUAUUCUAUGUGUGAAUUAUCAAGGAAGACUUGAAGUAAAAUGGAAAAUAACAUUUUCUGGUCAUUUACCUCAAAUAUAGCUGUUUUAUGAAAUUUUGUUGAAAGUAAUUGAAUGAUUUCUGAAUGCCUGUUGGCUAAUUAAACCUAUAGGAAAAACCAGAAAUUAAAUGGAUAUACAAUCAAGCUCUGAGCUUUCACAAUACUGCUUAUUCUAAAGCCCAAUAAAAUACUGCAUGCAUAUUAAAAAUAAUGAACAUGAUAUGCCACCACGAAAGCUGUUUACUUUUAUGGGAGAUCAAUCUGUGUCUUGGCUUCAGGUAUGAUCUGUAGAACAGCUUUGAUGAGAUGCUGCUCACAGCCCAAAUGAUGUUUGUGUGGUUUGUUCAUUUUCAACUAAAUUCAUAUAAUCACAGAAUGGUUUGGGUUUGAAAGGAUCUUAAGAUCAUCCAGUUCCAACCCUGCUGCCAUGCGCAGGGAUGCCUCACACUAGACCAUGUCUCCCAAGGCUCCUUGAACGCUGCCAGGGAUGGAUCAUUUACCACUUCUUUGGGCAACCUGUUCCAGUGCCUCACCACCCUCACAGUAAAGAAUUGAAUUGAUUUUCCCAGUUUUGUAGACAUAGCUAUGAAUUUAUUUUGAGUUUUCACAGUUGUGAGAAAGAUGUUCUGUUACUGUAAGAACAUUCGGUUUGGACAUGAGAGUAGUAAAGCAACUUAUGCUUGCUUGCGUGUUUAUGGUUUUAGAAUAUUGUUUUAUUCAGGAUCAGCUUGACACCAACUUGCCUGACAGAGUGCUAGAAAAAGAUGCUAGUAUCAUCUCCUGCAGAGAUGAAAUUCCAUUUAAAACUCUGAAGUCUGUAGUAAGUUCAACCAGAGGUAGGUUACUGAUGUGUAUCAGAGUGAAAAUGAAAGACUUUUCUACAAUAUUCUGCUGGGAUGUGACUCUACAUCCCUAACGAAUAGGUGUGCUUUGGCUGAUGGUGAAUUGAUGGUGCCACAUCAACCAGGUGUGGAAUUGAGAUAUUUACUGUCUAAAGUGGUUUCACAAAUAAUGUUUGUUCCUCCAGCCUUCAGUCAGGUGGCAUAAAGACCCCAUCUGUUUCAUUGGCUUUCCACCUUACCUCCCCAUUUCCUUCCACUCCUCUCAUGAUCUGUUCAUGUGUGCUAUCUUCUUCAUUUAGGAGCUGUAACCCUGCUGACCAUGUCAGUCUUACACCCUGUCAGGAACCUGCUACAUGCAAAUGAUCUUCACGCUCUUAGUAUCUUUACCCUAACGGUUAUAGAGCAUGUGUUUCACACAGGAGAAAUGAGGUGAGCACCAGUUCAGAGAGGAUGAAUAGCAAUGGAGCCGAGAAAGCCUGGGUGAGCAGUGGUACUAUGCAGCAGCAUGUUCUGCUGACACUUUCUGCUAAAGCAUGCAAAUGGAAAUUUUUAGAUGGAUUUUGGAAGAAAAGUUGUUUUCAAAAAGCCAACCAUGGAGUGAAAUAGUCAUUAACAGGGAACCUGUGGGGUUUUGACCUUCCAAAUACUAAAAAUAAUAUAUAUAUCUGUCUUUCACAGGAGAAUCCCUUCAAGGAAAGGAUUGUGGAGUCUUUCUCAGAAGAUGGAGAGGGGAGCCUCAGCUUCAAUGACUUUGUGGAUAUGUUCUCUGUGCUCAGUGAAAUGGCUCCCAGAGAGCUUAAAGCAAUCUAUGCCUUCAAGAUCUAUGAUUUUAACACAGACAACUUCAUUUGUAAAUCAGACUUGGAAAAGACCCUCAAUAAGCUGACCCGAGAAGAGCUAACAGCAGAAGAGAUCACCCUGGUUUGCGAGAAAGUAAUAGAAGAAGCUGACAUGGAUGGUGAUGGGAAACUCGGAUUUGCAGAUUUUGAAAACAUGAUUUCCAAAGCACCAGACUUCCUCAGUACUUUCCACAUAAGAAUCUGAAGAUGUUUCUGUGAGCCAGUGUUAUCAGAAAUGACUUGCCAGUCCAGCCUUUCUGAAUCUCAGGCACUUUGGGGGCUUUUGUCCUCUAAUUAUGGCUUCUUAGAACUCAGCAGAAAGUACUGAAAUAAUUCUGGUCCACAAAGAGACAGAAGCACCAUGUGAUCCACAGGAUGUUUGGAACAGUCACAUUUUUAUCUCCACUGCUGGCCAAGCACUUUGGCGAGGAUGGUUGGUUGUUGGGUUGUGGGUUUUCUUUUUUUUUUCCCUGUCUCUUUUUUUAAACAGGCAGAAUCAGAAUAUUGUUAAAGGUGUUUCCACGUAGUUUUUAUAUUUAUGAAUAUUUAAUACUGCUCUUAAAAGUGCAAAAAAUAAAAAAAAGGACAGAAAGAUUAGCUUUGAUGGCUUUUCCAAAAGUAUUUGAAAGAAAGCAAGGGCCUUAAGUAAUGAGACGCCUCUAUCACUGUGUUGUAUGGCUGGGGAUCUUGCAUGGAAAUUAUCUUAGGUGAAAGAACUGCAGUCAAGAUCAAGCUCCCAGUGUUGAAGACAACCACAUCCCAGGUUUGCCUUUCAGUCCCUGAAAUGGCAGUUGCUGGGUUUGGUGCUUACCUUCAACCAAUAUUUUAUGGAUUGUCACGUCCUUAUGAAACUUGAAAUAUUUGCCUUUUGUAUAUGGUAACUGUAUACACAAUUCCUUUCUUCCCAAGAUAAAUGUUAAAACUGUGUCCUUAUUCCCAAAAGGGGUCCUGCAUUUUACUCAUUCUAUGGGCUGAUAAUGUUGAAUGGAAGAAUCUGAUCGUCUGUAACUCACGAAGAAGUUAAAGAAGCACAGAAAUACUACUAAGGACAUGAAAAGACAUUUUCUUUCUAAACCAGCUAUGCAAUCUUUCCCAUAAAAUGCAUGAAUGCAGCUCUAUCUUUCUCUUCCCUCUCCAGCUGGAAAUCAGCUAGAUUUUUCUUUCUUUUUGUUAGUUCCAGUAUUGUUUAGGUACUGGGGCCUGAAGACAAUCAUAUGUGUAUUACUGUUCUAACAGUCAAUAGAAGGGCUCUGUCACUUACAUGGCUUCUGUAUCAAAGUCAUCACAAUUAAAACUUUUGAUGCAUUCUGUCGUGCUUUGGGAAUUCUUGGGCUAAGCACAUACUAAUUUCCUUUCUGGUCAUUAUUCCAAUAACUGUAAAAUUGAAUCUUUCCAAGGAUGAAACAUGUUAUUCUUAUUGAAAACAUUGUUAAAUUAGAGGCAAUAAUCUUUUUACCAUUUCUGUUGGGAUACUGCUGCUUUACCUUGGAUCCCUUUAUCUAUGGAGAGCUUGCAGUGCAGCUUGCUGUUCAAAUUUAUGUAGUAUGCACAAGAAGAAAUGCUUAUCAGUGUGGUUGUUCAUUAAAAGUGUUGAUGGAAAUUGUGGAUGUUCAAGGUAUACAGGACAUCUUGUCUGAGGUAGCAGAGUGAAAAUGAAACUUGUAUGUUAACAAUUAGUUUUAUUUUAAAUGUAUUUUUGAGGAUGAUCUUAUUAAGUGUUAUUUGUAGCAUUUUAAUACUUCCUCCUACUGGCUUCUGUUCAGAUAAAGGAAUUAGAGCCUGACUUCCCUUUGAUGUAUUUACCCAAGUUAAAAUCAGCAUAAAUCAAUCCUGAUACUCAGUUCUGAUUGAGUAAGAAGAGAUUCAAGCCUCAAUCCUUUUCAUUUUUAGCAGAUUAAGUUAGAGGUAUUGGUUGGUUCAAACAAUUUGCAAGACAUUGGCAUUAAGAGAGAUUAUGCUAAAAAUUACUUACUAUUCCUCAAAACACCAGCCUAAUAGUUUUUUAUUCCUUUCAAGACAGACAUUUAAUCUUGAAGGCCUCAUGAGAUGUGUUUUUCUGACACAAUUAGUAUGUAUUGUGAAAUACCAGGUUGCAAGAUUGUGGAUCAGAUGAUUCAGACAAAAAGGAUCCAGUGCUGAUGAAAUAGGUCACUUCCUUUUGAUACUAGGCUUCUUAUUCUAUGUUUUAAAACUUCUUUUAGCUAAAAUUCUUUCCUUCCUCACACUGUGUUGUUCCACGAUUAAAUCCUCCUCUUCACUUAAAGGAAGACCUCAGUUGCCUUGGGACUACUCAGUGUAUUGUUUCCUUGUCCUCCCUGACCUGAAAAGCAGUCAAAGAGACACUUGGGCUUGCAGGCAGGUAUUUAACCCUUGAGUCAUCCUACUAGGCUGAGAAACAAAGAGAAAAAGAAAUCAGGAGCACCCUGUGAAGGAAUAUUCCUGCCCACGGUUAAAGAAUACUGCAGAUACAAAUUAUGCAAUUGUCUUAACUCCCUUUAUUUUCUUGAUUUAUGUUCAUCUUCUCUAACAAAAACCCAAUCAACGUACUAUGUUCCUGGAGUUUGAGAGAGAGAUGUACUCCAAAUGCUUCUGGAGCAAAAUGAUCCUAUCCAGCAGUAGGUAAGUUGUUAUACCACUUGAUGGCGAAGGUGAGGGAUAGAUUUCUAAAGAAGCUUUGUAUUUGUGGUUUCUUAGUUGUCUGUAGUUGGAUGUAUUAGGACUGAAACUUUUGUUAUAGCAAGAGUGUUGAGUGAAUUAGGAGUGCAGCAUGAUGGAUUUACUAACUAGCAAGUGUUUCUUCAACCAGCUUAUUUAUUCAAAAGGAACUAUCAUGCUAUUGAGGAAGAAACUGAAAUAGUAAAAGAGAUUUAAAACAAUGUUGGAUGUGGCCUAAAAACAAGAGGAUAUAGAUUUUGUAUUGCAGAAAAGGUUUUGAAUAUGAAUGGACAUUUCUUUAUCUGCCUUCAAAAAUAGUCCAAGUAUUACCUAAAGCCUCUAUUAAAAUAGCUAAGAGUGUGUGUGUGUUAUCUCCAGCUUAUAUACAUUCAAAGCAAUUUAGGGACAAAAAGAAGUGGUGGAAGUGAAUAAAACAGUGUCAAAGAGCAAGUAACAACCAUGUUAUUUAUUAAUGCAGUUUAGUUUAUCAUUGUUUUAAGGGAAUACUAUAAGCCAAGACUUAUAACAGCCUGCAGGCCAAAACCUGAUCUUCAUUACUUCUGUAUUAAUCUGCAGUAACUCUGCUGAAUUCAGUGGAAUUAGCUCGUAUUUCUGUAAUUGGAUCUGCAUUGAGGAAAACAGUUGGGUUUUUGCUACAGUUCUUUGUGCUCUCUCAUGCCCUUUUAAUGUAAUCUUAAAAUGCUGAAUGCUCUUUUGUUAGUCAAUAACCACCUGGUCCUCUUUGCCAGCAGGCUCAGGGUUGGAAUCUCUUGCAAUUUCUCCCAAUCAUAUAGAAACAGUCUCCUUUCUUUUUCCCCUAGGGCUUACUUUUAUCUCCGUGUACACGUUAGAGGCACUUCUGACGCAGCAUCACAAGGUGGCACCAUAACAUCGAAUCAGGUCAUAACUUCAUUUCACUGGUUCCAUUUCCCUGAGCUAUAGGGAACUGUAUAGGAUCUGUGAUGCCACAAGCAAAAACAAGAAAGCUGUGGUGAAUUACUGAUUUUAGAACUGUAGAUAAUUACAUGGGAAGUUUCAUAUUUGAUCAGACUCAUGAAUUGAAAUCGUACAAGGGGCAAAAACUAAAUACUUUUGAAACAGGACAUGAAAACUUAUUGAUUUUAUAGAAUAAUUUGUGUACAUGAGAACUUUUUUCCUUGAUGCAUACCCCAGCUGGAUUGUGACCAGUAUAAUGACAAUACUCCUUUAUAGUGUUUUCAGCUGUGUCAAACACAGAUAUUGUAAUUUUCCGUAGUUACUCAUUUGCUUUUGGGUGAUGUUGGUCUCAGUAAUAUCUGGUAUUAAUCAGAAUAAUGGUUGUUGGGUUUUUUCCCCCUUUCAUGAGUUAAUACGUGUUAAAUUCCAUCUGUUCAGUUUUGCUGUCUUUCAGUCUCUGGGUAUUUUUUCGUUGUUUUUUCCUUACGCAAUAGUAGUGCCUUAUGGUGUUUUGCUUGUAAAAAUCACUCUUUCAUAUCAUCUGUCAUGUGCUUUCUAGAAAUCUGGUGGCUGCAGCUGCUGCAGAUAAUAGCAAAUGUUGGUUUAUAAAAAGUUUUCUUAUCGUCUGUCUUAUCCUUUGUAAGUUAUGCUGGCUUGUUCCCUAUAGAACAGGGACAAACACUUAAGUUGAAGUAUUUAUAGGUGGUCUGUGGAAUUUAUAUCUUUUCUUGGUGUAAGAAAACACCAGGAUGGAUUAAUUCAACUUGUAUCAUUUUAGAUACGCAUUAUCUGAUGUGCUGAAGUUUCUCUACCAUAAUGUUUUGUGUUGACAAUUUCUAUAUUUGAUUGCUGUGAAACGUCUCCAUCUCAGAUGACCCAUAUGUUUCAUCUUCAGUGGAGCUUAGGCACAGGCCUAAUGUUCAGAACAGUGAAUAGAUGUGUUUCUUUGAAUUAAGGUCAAACUCUCAGUUACGGCUGUCUUGUAGAGAUGUUAAUAACACCAAGUGACUAUCAAAUUCUCUUUGGUGGGGAAAAGAAAGAGACUGUUCUUGGUAGAAUUAAGAGAGCAUCAGUAUUACAGAUGCAGGACCAGUGACAAGCCACAUGCGUCAGCCUUUGCAUGCUAUGCUGUUGCAACAAUUUGCUAGCAACUGUUCCUGAUAGAAUGAUUCAUCCCAUGUGACUCAUUUUCAACUGCAGGCCACAGUUCUUUAUUCCGACCUGCAUUCAUCUGCUCUGCCAAUGAAUAGGCAGAAGUCAUGGAGGGAGGAACCUUUCCCAUCAUCCAGUGAACUGAUGCCAGAAGUGAGCCUGUCUGCGGCGAGUGAACAGCAAGCAGAAGGGGCACUUUGGAAUAACAAAGAAUGGGCACGUUUGCAUCUUUGGUGAACAAUCUGAAUGAAGCGGAUCCAUUUCUCAGUAAAGGUCAUGCUUAGUAGUGGCUACAGGGAGUUGCUGAGUACAGGUGCUUGCUCUGCCAUUCUGCAGUUUGAAGAUCUCUAACUGGGAAAUAUCUUUCUGUGGUGGCCUGUCUUGGUUUCUGUAACACUAAGACGGUGCAGAAAACAAUCUGUGGAUCUACACAAGGAACAGAAUACAUGAAAAACCAGGGUCAGGAUAAGUGUGUGUUACUGCCAGAUGACUCUUCAACACCUCCUUCUUUCCUACUCUAAGAAAAUCUGACUGAUUAUCAAAAGCGAUUUUGAGCAUCCCUCCAGUGAAUGUUCGGGGUUCAUCUUUAAAGUAGGUGACAUCUGGAGAGGAGGACUCGAAGUAUUCUGCAAUCCCUUAUCUCAACACCACAAUGAAACCCAUGGACAACCACACUGAAUACUCAGGUGCUUCAUAUCCUUUACAUCCUUUAGCAUAGAAUGAAAGUUUUGUCUGGCAGAUGAGACAGUUACUUUUCAUUGAGAAAUUAAUCAGGGCAUUUAAAAAUGAGGACAGAGUGAGUAAGAAGCUCUGGGAGAUUUAGGAUGUCUGGAUAAAUUGAACUUUCCAAUUGUCAGAAUUCAAUCACAUGAAUCUAGUUCAUAAACAGCAUAAUCCUAAUAAAAAUGCCACUGCAAAUAUCAGCUCCAACAACUAUAUUGACAUUAAACCUUUUGUGUAAACCUUUUAAGGUUGAGAAUGAAAAGUUGAAUGCCAUUAAACAUGGAACUGUGUCCCCCCAUUUUUGGGUGGUUAUGCCA